RNAcentral lists this ribosomal RNA (570 nucleotides) under uncultured organism. Its description in RNAcentral is "SSU rRNA". It matches the Rfam family "Bacterial small subunit ribosomal RNA", at positions 30 to 595 of the family's 1533-position model. The record is from RNAcentral.
UGAACGCUGGCGGCAGGCCUAACACAUGCAAGUCGAGCGGAUGAGUGGAGCUUGCUCCAUGAUUCAGCGGCGGACGGGUGAGUAAUGCCUAGGAAUCUGCCUGGUAGUGGGGGACAACGUUUCGAAAGGAACGCUAAUACCGCAUACGUCCUACGGGAGAAAGCAGGGGACCUUCGGGCCUUGCGCUAUCAGAUGAGCCUAGGUCGGAUUAGCUAGUAGGUGAGGUAAUGGCUCACCUAGGCGACGAUCCGUAACUGGUCUGAGAGGAUGAUCAGUCACACUGGAACUGAGACACGGUCCAGACUCCUACGGGAGGCAGCAGUGGGGAAUAUUGGACAAUGGGCGAAAGCCUGAUCCAGCCAUGCCGCGUGUGUGAAGAAGGUCUUCGGAUUGUAAAGCACUUUAAGUUGGGAGGAAGGGCAGUAAGUUAAUACCUUGCUGUUUUGACGUUACCAACAGAAUAAGCACCGGCUAACUUCGUGCCAGCAGCCGCGGUAAUACGAAGGGUGCAAGCGUUAAUCGGAAUUACUGGGCGUAAAGCGCGCGUAGGUGGUUCAGCAAGUUGGAGGU